Molecule: ribosomal RNA, 465 nt
Filed under: uncultured bacterium
Lineage: Bacteria
Description: partial 16S ribosomal RNA
Rfam family: Bacterial small subunit ribosomal RNA
Source: RNAcentral
GACGAACGCUGGCGGCGUGCUUAACACAUGCAAGUCGAACGGAAAGGCCCUGCUUGCAGGGUACUCGAGUGGCGAACGGGUGAGUAACACGUGGGUGAUCUGCCCUGCACUUCGGGAUAAGCCUGGGAAACUGGGUCUAAUACCGGAUAUGACCUUCCAUGUAGUGUGGGGGGUGGAAGGAUUUAUCGGUGUGGGAUGAGCCCGCGGCCUAUCAGCUUGUUGGUGGGGUAAUGGCCUACCAAGGCGUCGACGGGUAGCCGGCCUGAGAGGGUGGACGGCCACAUUGGGACUGAGAUACGGCCCAGACUCCUACGGGAGGCAGCAGUGGGGAAUAUUGCACAAUGGGCGGAAGCCUGAUGCAGCGACGCCGCGUGGGGGAUGACGGCCUUCGGGUUGUAAACCUCUUUCGACAGGGACGAAGCUUCGGUGACGGUACCUGUAGAAGAAGCACCGGCUAACUACGUG